GACGGAGGAGGCAAGCGUUUUCCGGAAUUAUUGGGCGUAAAGGGUACGUAGGCGGCUGGUCGAGUCUGGGGUCAAAGGCCACAGCUCAACUGUGGGAAGGCCCUGGAGACUGACCGGCUAGAGUGAGGUAGGGGUUGCGGGAAUUCCCGGUGUAGCGGUGAAAUGCGUAGAGAUCGGGAAGAACACCUGAGGCGGAAGCGCGCAACUGGGCCUCAACUGACGCUGAGGUACGAAAGCUAGGGGAGCGAAUGGG
This 253-nucleotide ribosomal RNA is filed under the name uncultured bacterium. RNAcentral's name for it is "partial 16S ribosomal RNA". It matches the Rfam family "Bacterial small subunit ribosomal RNA", at positions 524 to 776 of the family's 1533-position model. The record is from RNAcentral.